CCUACGGGAGGCAGCAGUCGGGAAUAUUGCGCAAUGGAGGAAACUCUGACGCAGUGACACCGCGUAUAGGAAGAAGGUUUUCGGAUUGUAAACUAUUGUCGUUAGGGAAGAUCAACGACUGUACCUAAUGCUUCCGCCCCGGCUAACUAUGUGCCAGCAGCAGCGGGAAUACAUAGGGGGCAAGCGUUAUCCGGAAUUAUUGGGUGUAAAGGGUGCGUAGACGGAAGAACAAGUUGGUUGUGAAAUCCCUGGGCUCAACUGAGGAACUGCAACCAAAACUAUUCUCCUUGAGUGACGGAGAGGAAAGUGGAAUUCCUAGUGUAGCGGUGAAAUGCGUAGAUAUUAGGAGGAACACCAGAGGCGAAGGCGACUUGCUGGACGAUAACUGACGUUGAGGCACGAAAGUGUGGGGAGCAAACAGGAUUAGAUACCCGAGUAGUC
RNAcentral lists this ribosomal RNA (441 nucleotides) under uncultured bacterium. RNAcentral's name for it is "partial 16S ribosomal RNA". It matches the Rfam family "Bacterial small subunit ribosomal RNA", at positions 338 to 795 of the family's 1533-position model. The record is from RNAcentral.